Molecule: transfer RNA, 72 nt
Filed under: Anguilla anguilla (European eel)
Lineage: Eukaryota; Metazoa; Chordata; Actinopteri; Anguilliformes; Anguillidae
Description: tRNA-OTHER
Source: RNAcentral
AACAGGGUAGUGUAGCGGUAUAAGCACUCGCCUACCACCUCAGAGACCCGGGUUCAAACCCCGGCAGUGGUA